RNAcentral lists this ribosomal RNA (437 nucleotides) under uncultured bacterium. RNAcentral describes it as "partial 16S ribosomal RNA". It matches the Rfam family "Bacterial small subunit ribosomal RNA", at positions 29 to 507 of the family's 1533-position model. The record is from RNAcentral.
AGCGAACGCUGGCGGCAGGCUUAACACAUGCAAGUCGAGUGGGCAUCCUUGUGGUGUCAGCGGCAGACGGGUGAGUAACGCGUGGGAACGUGCCCUUCGGUUCGGAAUAACUCAGGGAAACUUGAGCUAAUACCGGAUACGUGCGAGAGCAGAAAGGUUUAUCUGCCGAAGGAUCGGCCCGCGUCUGAUUAGCUAGUUGGUGAGGUUACGGCUCACCAAGGCGACGAUCAGUAGCUGGUCUGAGAGGAUGAUCAGCCACACUGGGACUGAGACACGGCCCAGACUCCUACGGGAGGCAGCAGUGGGGAAUAUUGGACAAUGGGGGCAACCCUGAUCCAGCCAUGCCGCGUGAGUGAUGACGGCCUUAGGGUUGUAAAGCUCUUUUCUCCGGGACGAUAAUGACGGUACCGGAGGAAUAAGCCCCGGCUAACUUCGUG